CCCCUCUCAGAGUUGCUCCUGGAGAGUUUCCAGUACUCUACCAGUCUCGGCUAGUGGAAGGAGAGACAAGCAGAGGACUAACCAUUCCUUUUCUAGCUUGGGUAGUGGUUAGCGAAUGGAAGGCAAUCUGCUACAAGU
Small nucleolar RNA from Ornithorhynchus anatinus (platypus), 138 nucleotides. NCBI's taxonomy places the organism in Eukaryota, Metazoa, Chordata, Mammalia, Monotremata, Ornithorhynchidae. The record is from RefSeq and is a predicted model, not a curated record.